RNAcentral lists this long non-coding RNA (357 nucleotides) under Pan troglodytes (chimpanzee). RNAcentral describes it as "long non-coding RNA NONPTRT016060". The record is from RNAcentral. Lineage: Eukaryota; Metazoa; Chordata; Mammalia; Primates; Hominidae.
UGGAAGAGCCUCAGACACCAGGAAUUUGAUUAUUCACUUUUCCAAGAUAAAGUGGCACGGAGUGGGGAAAGACCAUUAAGGAAUGCUGAACAUAAAGGAAUCCUGGGGACCUUACCCUCAGUUAAGACAUAAGAAUGACAACCAGGAGUGUGCUCGCUCAUCUACACAAGGUCAAGUUUCCAUCUGCUGAUUCACACAUCAGUCUAUUCUGACUGUAUUCCUAGAUCUACCAGCAAAACCACUUCCUGUCCGAAUUUAUAGUCAAACAAAGAAAAGCCAAAUCUGCAUGAGAUACCUUGAAUCCAGCCCAAUCCAAUCCUGCAGAAGCCAUUAGGAUUUAAUAGUAGUGACUGAGAG